AUGCACCUUGAGCAGCUUGUUUCUGGGCAGUUUUCUUCCAAAUUUUGGGGUCAUCAAAUCAUUCCACAGCAGCGUCUCCGAAUGACUCCAUACGGACUGUCAUCUUCACGUGUACCUGCAGAGUUCUUGUCCAACCCUGCCAACUUAUCCAGUGCGUUCUGCGCAAUCCACCGGGAGUGUGAACCUGGAAGCACCAGAGUCUGUUUUUAUCGAUUUAAGCUGUGCGUCAGUUGCAAGCAGCAACUGCUUCCACACUCUAUGUUUAAAGUGCGAGGCAUUUGCCCGAUAGAAUGGAUCAUUGAUGCAAUUGUUAGCGUCGAUAACAAUGUUGUGUGUACGAUAUUUCCUCUGUAUAAAUACAUGUCGUCUGGUUAUACAGAUGUUCAUUAUGUUUGGAAAGUGAAUUUGUUCCGUGCUAAUUUCAGGUUGUGGCUGGGCAGUGCACCACCAGACAGAACUCCGUGUGCAUUGAGAAUGAGUGCGUUGGAACAGUCUCUUUGGAAAUUCACGGAUGAGCCCAUGAAAAGUGUGAUCAAACCUGAACUUGGCAGAUUGAAAAUUGUACAACAUCAUUUGCAGUCUCUUCGGAUCUGUUGA
This 597-nucleotide ribosomal RNA is filed under the name Triticum aestivum (bread wheat). RNAcentral's name for it is "partial small subunit ribosomal RNA". The record is from RNAcentral. Lineage: Eukaryota; Viridiplantae; Streptophyta; Magnoliopsida; Poales; Poaceae.